ACCGGUAAAGGCCCAAAGAGAGCCUCGGGUCCUGUCUAAGUUACAGUCUCCGGCCUGCAGGGGGCACCGUGGGGCGUCUUAGGCAGGCUCUCCACUGCAGUUUGUUGUUCCACGACCUUCUUCAGGUGCCGUCAGCCAUGGUGGUGAGUUGCUCAAGUGGUGGUCCGUAUGAAGCAGUCUGGGCUCCUGCUUUGCUCCAUGUUGGACCCUGGUUCUGCAGGCGGUGCUCAGGAUGAAGGCUGGCGUUCUGCCAGCGCAAUGUUGGAACCUAGUUCUGCAGAGUAGCAGGUUCAGGACGGUCUGGGGUUCUGCUCGACGCCAUGUUGGACCCUAGUUUUGCAGAGCAACAGGUGGUGGUCAGUGUGCUGGGCUCCAUGUUGGACCCUGGUCCUGCAGAGUAGCAGCCCGGCGGUGGUGGUGAAGGGUGAAGGAGGCUGGGCUCCAUGUUGGACCCUGGUUCUGCAGAGCAGCAGGCAAUGCUCAGGAUGAAGGCUGGCGUUCUGCCAGCGCAAUGUUGGAACCUAGUUCUGAAGAGUAGCAGACAGGCAGGGUUCAGGAUGGUCUGGGGUUCUGCUCGGCGCCAUGUUGGACCCUAGUUUUGCAGAGCAGCAGGGCUGACGGGCCAGUCCCCUUCUCCACCCACUGCUCUCAGACAUGGAAAGUGGAAGCUGGCCACUUGAAGUCUACAUCUCUUGAGAUUAUUGUUUUAAAUAAAGUUUCUGUUGACAAGAUGUCCUGGGUUCGAUUUGUUUCAUUGUUCCUCAUAUCGAGAAUAAGUAGGGGAAAGUGGCCGCAUAAUUGAAAAAAGUUUGUUGAAUCAGAUGACGAUGAACUGCAAUGCAUCAUGGGAUUUAAUGCCAAAAUAAGUGCAUGGUUUGUACGCAUUUGGAUUCGUACACCAGGGAGGAACCAGAUAAAUCUUUGAAGGUCCCAUGGCAUGCCACCAGGUGUGAU
Molecule: long non-coding RNA, 954 nt
Organism: Gadus chalcogrammus (walleye pollock)
Lineage: Eukaryota; Metazoa; Chordata; Actinopteri; Gadiformes; Gadidae
Exons: 9
Source: RefSeq, a predicted model, not a curated record